This 429-nucleotide ribosomal RNA is filed under the name Fusobacteriota bacterium. Its description in RNAcentral is "Fusobacteria bacterium partial 16S ribosomal RNA". It matches the Rfam family "Bacterial small subunit ribosomal RNA", at positions 355 to 776 of the family's 1533-position model. The record is from RNAcentral. Lineage: Bacteria; Fusobacteriati; Fusobacteriota.
UGGGGAAUUUUGGACAAUGGGCGAAAGCCUGAUCCAGCACUGCCGCGUGUGUGAAGAAGGCCUUCGGGUUGUAAAGCACUUUUGUCCGGAAAGAAAUGGCUCUGGUUAAUACCUGGGGUCGAUGACGGUACCGGAAGAAUAAGGACCGGCUAACUACGUGCCAGCAGCCGCGGUAAUACGUAGGGUCCAAGCGUUAAUCGGAAUUACUGGGCGUAAAGCGUGCGCAGGCGGUUGUGCAAGACCGAUGUGAAAUCCCCGAGCUUAACUUGGGAAUUGCAUGGGUGACUGCACGGCUAGAGUGUGUCAGAGGGGGGUAGAAUUCCACGUGGAGCAGUGAAAUGCGUAGAGAUGUGGAGGAAUACCGAUGGCGAAGGCAGCCCCCUGGGAUAACACUGACGCUCAUGCACGAAAGCGUGGGGAGCAAACAGG